UACGUAGGGGGCAAGCGUUGUCCGGAUUUAUUGGGCGUAAAGAGCGUGUAGGCGGCUUUACAGGUCCGUUGUGAAAACUCGAGGCUCAACCUCGAGACGCCGGUGGAAACCGUAAGGCUAGAGUCCGGAAGAGGAGAGUGGAAUUCCUGGUGUAGCGGUGAAAUGCGCAGAUAUCAGGAAGAACACCCGUGGCGAAGGCGGCUCUCUGGGACGGUACUGACGCUGCGACGCGAAAGCGUGGGGAGCAAACAGG
RNAcentral lists this ribosomal RNA (253 nucleotides) under uncultured bacterium. Its description in RNAcentral is "partial 16S ribosomal RNA". It matches the Rfam family "Bacterial small subunit ribosomal RNA", at positions 524 to 776 of the family's 1533-position model. The record is from RNAcentral.